This 236-nucleotide ribosomal RNA is filed under the name uncultured bacterium. RNAcentral's name for it is "partial 16S ribosomal RNA". It matches the Rfam family "Bacterial small subunit ribosomal RNA", at positions 524 to 759 of the family's 1533-position model. The record is from RNAcentral.
UACGUAGGGAGCAAGCGUUGUCCGGAAUCAUUGGGCGUAAAGCGCGCGUAGGUGGCCCCAUAAGUCCGCUGUGAAAGUCAAAGGCUCAACCUUUGAAAGCCGGUGGAUACUGUGGGACUAGAGUACGGAAGAGGCGAGUGGAAUUCCUGGUGUAGCGGUGGAAUGCGCAGAUAUCAGGAGGAACACCAAUAGCGAAGGCAGCUCGCUGGGACGUUACUGACACUGAGGCGCGAAAG